UGGGAUGGCAUAAUGUUUCUAGCAACCUCC
This 30-nucleotide non-coding RNA is filed under the name Mus musculus (house mouse). The record is from RNAcentral. Lineage: Eukaryota; Metazoa; Chordata; Mammalia; Rodentia; Muridae.